UAUCCACCUAAUUUCCGGUACCAUGUCAUAAAAUGAGCUCUAAAAACGAAUGGACGGCAUGGAUUUCUCACAUACAUUGAGGUGGGCCCCACCCAUCAUACUUGCGCAGGAAAUCCACGCCCGCUUCCUUGGUGGAUGAGUUACCCGCGGCCAUAAUACCCUCGUUCAUGUGCAGCAAAGAGAGAGCGAGAGAGAGGAAAUGGCGACGAUGAAGGCCAUUUGAGAGAGCAAAUGGCGGCGAUAAAGGUCAUUAUAGCUAGGCAUAUCUUCGAUAGCCGUGGAAAUCGAAACAUUGAGGUGGAUGUUUGUCUGAGUGAUGGAACCCUAGCUAGGGCUGUUGUCACGAGUGGCGCCUUGACAGGUUCUAAAAUGUGAGUAUUCUGUCCGUGGAGAGAUUGUUACCCAUGCCCAGUUAUGGUGUUAUAUCUGUACCAGAAGUGACGGAUUGACAGCCUCUAACUAGCAAUGAUAGAUACCUGGUGGCUGCAAUUGAUGGGGUCUCCGAGAAAAUGACUGUGCAGGAUAUCUGUGAUCUAAUAUGGGAUGUCUCCUCGGAGAUAUGUUCUCCCUAAUUCACUGUUCACAAGAUCUUGGAGACCAGGGUAUCGGUUGUUAUUGUUGGUGAAUGCUUGAGACUUCUGGUUUUCCUGAACACAAUGUCACACGCAAGUGAAUGUCAGGAAGAUGUUAUGGGCGUGCUUGGUCAGUGGAAUUGAAUGGUAUUGAAUUGUAUUAGAUGGGAUUAACAUUAUUAUUGCACAAUAGUUGCAUGUCAGGAAAUAUCACAGUAUUGUAGCCACCCAAUACCAUAUUUGGGAUAAAAAUUUUGCUAGGGGAAAACACCGGAUUAAGCAAAAUCAUGUUUGGUGGACCAUUGAA
Molecule: long non-coding RNA, 879 nt
Organism: Magnolia sinica
Lineage: Eukaryota; Viridiplantae; Streptophyta; Magnoliopsida; Magnoliales; Magnoliaceae
Exons: 6
Source: RefSeq, a predicted model, not a curated record